Molecule: transfer RNA, 87 nt
Filed under: Acinetobacter baumannii
Lineage: Bacteria; Pseudomonadati; Pseudomonadota; Gammaproteobacteria; Moraxellales; Moraxellaceae
Description: tRNA-Ser
Rfam family: tRNA
About the family: Transfer RNA (tRNA) molecules are approximately 80 nucleotides in length. Their secondary structure includes four short double-helical elements and three loops (D, anti-codon, and T loops). Further hydrogen bonds mediate the characteristic L-shaped molecular structure. tRNAs have two regions of fundamental functional importance: the anti-codon, which is responsible for specific mRNA codon recognition, and the 3' end, to which the tRNAs corresponding amino acid is attached (by aminoacyl-tRNA synthetases). tRNAs cope with the degeneracy of the genetic code in two manners: having more than one tRNA (with a specific anti-codon) for a particular amino acid; and 'wobble' base-pairing, i.e. permitting non-standard base-pairing at the 3rd anti-codon position.
Source: RNAcentral
GGGUGGAGGUCCAAAUGGCUAAGGGACCGGUCUUGAAAACCGGCGAAAGCGAAAGCUGUCAGAGUUCGAAUCUCUGUCCACCCGCCA